AGUGAACGCUGGCGGUAGGCCUAACACAUGCAAGUCGAACGGCAGCACAGCAAGAGCUUGCUCUUACGGGUGGCGAGUGGCGGACGGGUGAGGAAUACAUCGGAAUCUACUUUUUCGUGGGGGAUAACGUAGGGAAACUUACGCUAAUACCGCAUACGACCUACGGGUGAAAGCAGGGGAUCUUCGGACCUUGCGCGAUUGAAUGAGCCGAUGUCGGAUUAGCUAGUUGGCGGGGUAAAGGCCCACCAAGGCGACGAUCCGUAGCUGGUCUGAGAGGAUGAUCAGCCACACUGGAACUGAGACACGGUCCAGACUCCUACGGGAGGCAGCAGUGGGGAAUAUUGGACAAAGGGCGCAAGCCUGAUCCAGCCAUACCGCGUGGGUGAAGAAGGCCUUCGGGUUGUAAAACCCUUUUGUUGGGAAAGAAAAGCAGCAGGUUAAUACCCCGCUGUUCUGACGGUACCCAAAGAAUAAGCACCGGCUAACUUCGUG
Molecule: ribosomal RNA, 492 nt
Filed under: uncultured bacterium
Lineage: Bacteria
Description: partial 16S ribosomal RNA
Rfam family: Bacterial small subunit ribosomal RNA
Source: RNAcentral